CUACGGGCGGCAGCAGUGGGGAAUAUUGCACAAUGGGCGCACGCCUGAUGCAGCCAUGCCGCGUGUAUGAAGAAGGCCUUCGGGUUGUAAAGUACUUUCAGCGGGGAGGAAGGGAGUAAAGUUAAUACCUUUGCUCAUUGACGUUACCCGCAGAAGAAGCACCGGCUAACUCCGUGCCAGCAGCCGCGGUAAUACGGAGGGUGCAAGCGUUAAUCGGAAUUACUGGGCGUAAAGCGCACGCAGGCGGUUUGUUAAGUCAGAUGUGAAAUCCCCGGGCUCAACCUGGGAACUGCAUCUGAUACUGGCAAGCUAGAGUCUCGUAGAGGGGGGUAGAAUUCCAGGUGUAGCGGUGAAAUGCGUAGAGAUCUGGAGGAAUACCGGUGGUGAAGGCGGCCCCCUGGACGAAGACUGACGCUCAGGUGCGAAAGCGUGGGGAGCAAACAGGAUUAGAUACCCGAGUAGUC
Molecule: ribosomal RNA, 464 nt
Filed under: uncultured bacterium
Lineage: Bacteria
Description: partial 16S ribosomal RNA
Rfam family: Bacterial small subunit ribosomal RNA
Source: RNAcentral